This 265-nucleotide ribosomal RNA is filed under the name uncultured archaeon. RNAcentral's name for it is "partial 16S ribosomal RNA". It matches the Rfam family "Archaeal small subunit ribosomal RNA", at positions 717 to 982 of the family's 1478-position model. The record is from RNAcentral.
AGACGUCUACAUUAGAUACCCCGGUAGUCCCAGCCGUAAACUAUGCGCGUUAGGUGUAUCGGUGACCACGAGUUACCGAGGUGCCGAAGGGAAACCGUGAAACGUGCCGCCUGGGAAGUACGGUCGCAAGGCUGAAACUUAAAGGAAUUGGCGGGGGAGCACCACAACAGGUGGAGCCUGCGGUUUAAUUGGACUCAACGCCGGGAAGCUCACCGGAUAGGACAGCAGAAUGAUUGCCGGGCUGAAGACCCUGCAUGACUAGCUG